CUCUUUCGGCCGCAGCGUCAGACUCAGCUUUAGUGGAGGACCCAGUAGGCGCACCAGCGCUAGAACUGCUUGCAGCACACAAACUCCCACGCCUUUCCCCUCCUCUCACAGGUACCUACCCUUAUCCCCUCCUCUCACAGGUACCUACCCCUAUCCCCUCCUCUCACAGGUACCUAGCCUUAUCCCCUCCUCUCACAGGUACCUACCCCUAUCCCCUCCUCUCACAGGUACCUAACCCUAUCCCCUCCUCUCACAGGUACCUACCCCUAUCCCCUCCUCUCACAGGUACCUACCCCUAUCCCCUCCCCUCACAGGUACCUACCCCUAUCCCCUCCCCUCACAGGUAACUACCCCUAUACCCUCCUCUCACAGGUACCAACCCCUAUCCCCUUUUCUCACAGGUACCUACCCCUAUCCCCUUUUCUCACAGGUACCAACCCCAAUUCCCCUCCUUUCACAGGUACCUACCCCUAUCCCCUCCUUUCACAGGCACCUACCCCUAUCCCCUCCUUUCACAGGCACCUACCCCUAUCCCCCCUCUCACAGGUACCUACCCCUAUCCCCUCCUUUCACAGGCACCUACCCCUAUCCCCUCCUUUCACAGGCACCUACCCCUAUCCCCCUCUCACAGGUACCUACCCCUAUCCCCUUUUCUCACAGGUACCUACCCCUAUCCCCUUUUCUCACAGAUACCUACCCCUAUCCCCUUUUCUCACAGGUACCUACCCCUAUCCCCUUUUCUCACAGGUACCUACCCCUAUCCCCCUCUCACAGGUACCUACCCCUAUCCCCUUUUCUCACAGGCACCUACUCCUAUCCCCCUCUCACAGGUACCUACCCCUAUCCCCUUUUCUCACAGGUACCUACCCC
This is a long non-coding RNA of Oncorhynchus tshawytscha (Chinook salmon), 870 nucleotides long. The record is from Ensembl. Lineage: Eukaryota; Metazoa; Chordata; Actinopteri; Salmoniformes; Salmonidae.